UUAAAACCCAUUGGCAGCCAUACUCAGAUGA
This 31-nucleotide non-coding RNA is filed under the name Mus musculus (house mouse). Lineage: Eukaryota; Metazoa; Chordata; Mammalia; Rodentia; Muridae. The record is from RNAcentral.